Molecule: long non-coding RNA, 234 nt
Organism: Ailuropoda melanoleuca (giant panda)
Lineage: Eukaryota; Metazoa; Chordata; Mammalia; Carnivora; Ursidae
Exons: 3
Source: RefSeq, a predicted model, not a curated record
CCCUCCCAGAAGACACAGAAACCUCAGCUCUAACGGCCAGGAACAUCCUUCACUCCCGCAGCACAUCCCUAAGUGAGAGCGGCCGGGUGGAGAAGGCCACACACCGUGUGGUUCCAAGUCUAGGACGUUCUGGAAAAGGCGGAACGGCGGAGGAGGCCAGAGAAGAGAACGUGCUUUUGAAGAAGAAAAAAGACCCGGCCUGAAGGCCUCGUACCCCACUCGGCCUGGGUCACG